Molecule: ribosomal RNA, 1670 nt
Filed under: Trichobilharzia franki
Lineage: Eukaryota; Metazoa; Platyhelminthes; Trematoda; Strigeidida; Schistosomatidae
Description: partial large subunit ribosomal RNA
Source: RNAcentral
AAGCAUAUCACUAAGCGGAGGAAAAGAAACUAACAAGGAUUCCCCUAGUAACUGCGAGUGAACAGGGAUUAGCCCAGCACCGAAGCCUGUGGUUAUUUGACUGCAAGGCAAUGUGGUGUUUAGGUUUGUUCUUGGCAUUACUGCUCUGCCCCAAGUCCAGCAAUGAGUACGGCAUACCGUUCUGGCCCAUAGAGGGUGAAAGGCCCGUGGGGGUAGAGACCAAGCAUGACAGUUUUGUCCAGAGCUUACCUUGGAGUCGGGUUGUUUGAGAAUGCAGCCCAAAGUGGGUGGUAAACUCCAUCCAAGGCUAAAUACUUGCACGAGUCCGAUAGUAAACAAGUACCGUGAGGGAAAGUUGAAAAGUACUUUGAAGAGAGAGUAAACMRKKSSKKRAACCGCUCAGAGGUAAACGGGUGGAGUUGAACUGCGAUCCUUGGGAAUUCAGCUGAUGAGCAUGAUUUGUGCUUGGGCAUAUUGACCGCCUUUCAGUGUCUGCUUAGCUGCGGGUGCCUGCCUCUGGUGGGUAUGUGUGGUGCGCUUAUCAUGUGCCGCACGCAUUGGAGGGUGUAUGAGUCUGCUUGUCGGUGCACUUUCUCAGGGUGUUCACCACGACCGGCACUGCUGUCUGUCUGCUUUGGUCAAACUGAUCAGGUCUGAUUAACGUUGGGCUUGGUUGGGUUGGCAGGUGACUCACUGGUCCAUUCUGUGGGCUAUGAGUGUUACUAGCCGGCCUUAGUGGAUCUGUACGGUGUGUCGGAGACGGCGGCUUUGCAUAUGCGCUCUGUUCUUCAGGCGUGGUUGAGUCUGGUCGACUUGUUGCUAGUUUCGGCUGGUCAGUUGAUGGCUUGAUCAUGUUCAGUUGGCAGUGGUGUGUGUGUCUUAGUUUGGGCCAAUAGUCUGUGGUGUUGUGGUAGACUAUCCACCUGACCCGUCUUGAAACACGGACCAAGGAGUUUAACAUGUGCGCGAGUCAUUGGGCUUUACGAAACCCAAAGGCGCAGUGAAGGUAAAGGUUUGGCUUGUCCAGGCUGAGGUGAGAUCCUGUUGUUUUGCUCAUUUAUUCCAAGCUGCGAGCAGCAGGCGCAUCACCGGCCCGUCCCAUGACGUAGACAUGUGGCCUUGUGCUAUGUGCACCGUCGGGGCGGAGCAAGAGCGUACAUGUUGAGACCCGAAAGAUGGUGAACUAUGCUUGCGAAGGUUGAAGCCAGAGGAAACUCUGGUGGAGGACCGUAGCGAUUCUGACGUGCAAAUCGAUCGUAUAACGUGAGUAUAGGGGCGAAAGACUAAUCGAACCAUCUAGUAGCUGGUUCCCUCCGAAGUUUCCCUCAGGAUAGCUGGCAUUCUGAGAUAUAAACAGUUUUAUCCGGUAAAGCGAAUGAUUAGAGGCAUUGGGGAGAAAACAUCCUCAACCUAUUCUCAAACUUUAAAUGGGUGAGAAGCUUAACUCGCUUAAAUGGAGUUUUGCAUUGAAUGUGAGUGCCAAGUGGGCCAUUUUUGGUAAGCAGAACUGGCGCUGUGGGAUGAACCAAACGUGCGGUUAAGGUGCCUAACGCGACGCUCAUGAGAUACCACAAAAGGUGUUGGUUGGUCCAGACAGCAGGACGGUGGCCAUGGAAGUCGGAAACCGCUAAGGAGUGUGUAACAACUCACCUGCCGAAUCAACCAGCCCU